This 424-nucleotide ribosomal RNA is filed under the name uncultured bacterium. RNAcentral's name for it is "bacterial SSU rRNA". It matches the Rfam family "Bacterial small subunit ribosomal RNA", at positions 356 to 773 of the family's 1533-position model. The record is from RNAcentral.
AGGGAAUCUUCCGCAAUGGACGAAAGUCUGACGGAGCAACGCCGCGUGAGUGACGAAGGCCUUCGGGUCGUAAAACUCUGUUAUCAGGGAAGAACAAGCAUCGUUUAACUGACGGUGCCAUGACGGUACCUGACCAGAAAGCCACGGCUAACUACGUGCCAGCAGCCGUGGUAAUACGUAGGUGGCAAGCGUUGUCCGGAAUUAUUGGGCGUAAAGCGCGCGCAGGCGGCUUCUUAAGUCUGAUGUGAAAGCCCACGGCUCAACCGUGGAGGGUCAUUGGAAACUGGGAGGCUUGAGUGCAGAAGAGGAGAGCGGAAUUCCACGUGUAGCGGUGAAAUGCGUAGAGAUGUGGAGGAACACCAGUGGCGAAGGCGGCUCUCUGGUCUGUAACUGACGCUGAGGCGCGAAAGCGUGGGGAGCAAAC